This 237-nucleotide ribosomal RNA is filed under the name uncultured bacterium. RNAcentral's name for it is "partial 16S ribosomal RNA". It matches the Rfam family "Bacterial small subunit ribosomal RNA", at positions 540 to 776 of the family's 1533-position model. The record is from RNAcentral.
GUUGUCCGGGAUUAUUGGGCGUAAAGAGCGUGUAGGCGGUCCGGUAAGUCAGAUGUGAAAGUCAAGGGCUCAACCCUUGAAUGCCGGUUGAUACUGUCGGGCUAGAGUCCGGAAGAGGCGAGUGGAAUUCCCGGUGUAGCGGUGAAAUGCGCAGAUAUCGGGAGGAACACCAAUGGCGAAGGCAGCUCGCUGGGACGGUACUGACGCUGAGACGCGAAAGCGUGGGGAGCAAACAGG